Amphimedon queenslandica is the source of this 671-nucleotide long non-coding RNA. RefSeq lists it as uncharacterized. The record is from RefSeq and is a predicted model, not a curated record. Lineage: Eukaryota; Metazoa; Porifera; Demospongiae; Haplosclerida; Niphatidae. The transcript has 4 exons.
UCUAUCACUAACUACACUUACUGUCCAAUGAACCCAACCAAUAAACAAUAUCUGUUUAACAUUACAACUACUAAUAAAGCUGGGAAUGGAUCUACUAAUAACAUAACUGUUGGAUUUGAAACAAGUUCGGAGUUCCUGAGCAUUUACCAAGACACCUUUACAUAUCGAAUGAACAACAAUUGGAGUUUAUCUUUCAUUAUAUCAGGCUAUGAAUUGUGUCUUGGAGUGUCACUUGCUAAUAUUACAGUAAUAAGUUGCACUGUUGAUAAUGCUAGUAAUUGCUAUUCGUCAACAGCAGUGUCACUUAUUAGUAGUUUUUACAAUAACUAAUCUCCUUUUUGCUGUUAUCAGUCUUCCCUCAAGAGAGAUACUGGAUACUAUUGUUAUUAUACAUUAUCAAAGUGGAGCAAAUUUUCACAGCAAUACUAUCAGAAUCAACACUUAUGAUCUUCAGCAAUUGAGAUUGAUUAAUACUCUGGUACUCAAUGGGGUCUGCAUGGAGUUUAAGUUUGUCAAUGGCAGCACAACAAAUAAUGUACAUAUUCACAUCACUAGUUAUGAAAAUCCUCAACUAGUGUAUUACAGUAUAUCUCGUAAUGAUAGGCUCAACUUUAUUGAGUGUAUAACUAACAUAUCAUCUGGUAAUAAUCUAACACUGUAUGCAUGGAAUC